Molecule: ribosomal RNA, 496 nt
Filed under: uncultured bacterium
Lineage: Bacteria
Description: partial 16S ribosomal RNA
Rfam family: Bacterial small subunit ribosomal RNA
Source: RNAcentral
ACGAACGCUGGCGGCGUGCCUAAUCCAUGCAAGUUGAGCGCUGAAGGUUGGUACUUGUACCGACUGGAUGAGCAGCGAACGGGUGAGUAACGCGUGGGGAAUCUGCCUUUGAGCGGGGGACAACAUUUGGAAACGAAUGCUAAUACCGCAUAAAAACUUUAAACACAAGUUUUAAGUUUGAAAGAUGCAAUUGCAUCACUCAAAGAUGAUCCCGCGUUGUAUUAGCUAGUUGGUGAGGUAAAGGCUCACCAAGGCGAUGAUACAUAGCCGACCUGAGAGGGUGAUCGGCCACAUUGGGACUGAGACACGGCCCAAACUCCUACGGGAGGCAGCAGUAGGGAAUCUUCGGCAAUGGACGAAAGUCUGACCGAGCAACGCCGCGUGAGUGCAGAAGGUUUUCGGAUCGUAAAACUCUGUUGGUAGAGAAGAACGUUGGUGAGAGUGGAAAGCUCAUCAAGUGACGGUAACUACCCAGAAAGGGACGGCUAACUACGUG